Molecule: ribosomal RNA, 397 nt
Filed under: uncultured bacterium
Lineage: Bacteria
Description: bacterial SSU rRNA
Rfam family: Bacterial small subunit ribosomal RNA
Source: RNAcentral
UAUUGCACAAUGGGGGAAACCCUGAUGCAGCGACGCCGCGUGAGUGAAGAAGUAUUUCGGUAUGUAAAGCUCUAUCAGCAGGGAAGAUAAUGACGGUACCUGACUAAGAAGCCACGGCUAACUACGUGCCAGCAGCCGCGGUAAUACGUAGGGGGCAAGCGUUAUCCGGAUUUACUGGGUGUAAAGGGAGCGUAGGUGGCAGGGCAAGUCAGAUGUGAAAACCCGGGGCUCAACUCCGGGAUUGCAUUUGAAACUGUCCGGCUGGAGUGCAGGAGAGGUAAGCGGAAUUCCUAGUGUAGCGGUGAAAUGCGUAGAUAUUAGGAGGAACACCGGUGGCGAGGGCGGCUUGCUGGACGGUAACUGACGUUGAGGCUCGAAAGCGUGGGGAGCAAACAGG